RNAcentral lists this ribosomal RNA (436 nucleotides) under uncultured bacterium. RNAcentral describes it as "bacterial SSU rRNA". It matches the Rfam family "Bacterial small subunit ribosomal RNA", at positions 28 to 476 of the family's 1533-position model. The record is from RNAcentral.
GACGAACGCUGGCGGCGUGCUUAACACAUGCAAGUCGAACGAUGAUGCCCAGCUUGCUGGGUGGAUUAGUGGCGAACGGGUGAGUAACACGUGAGUAACCUGCCCCUGGCUCUGUGAUAAGCGUUGGAAACGACGUCUAAUACUGGAUAUGAUCACUGGCCGCAUGGUCUGGUGGUGGAAAGAUUUUUUGGUUGGGGAUGGACUCGCGGCCUAUCAGCUUGUUGGUGAGGUAAUGGCUCACCAAGGCGACGACGGGUAGCCGGCCUGAGAGGGUGACCGGCCACACUGGGACUGAGACACGGCCCAGACUCCUACGGGAGGCAGCAGUGGGGAAUAUUGCACAAUGGGCGAAAGCCUGAUGCAGCAACGCCGCGUGAGGGAUGACGGCCUUCGGGUUGUAAACCUCUUUUAGUAGGGAAGAAGCGAAAGUGACGGU